GUUAUUAAAUAUACGUAUCGCGAAUAUUUGGCUUCAGUAAUUGAAGACUCAUCAUACAGAUAUACGUUAUACUGUCAACACCUUAAAAUAAUAAAAAAAACAAGAUACGGACGUUAUAAAGUUCAAUAAAAAACGACAUGAUUUAGGGAACUUGAUGGAAACAAUAGCGACUUAAUAUACAACGUA
Long non-coding RNA from Bombus pascuorum, 186 nucleotides. RefSeq lists it as uncharacterized. The record is from RefSeq and is a predicted model, not a curated record. The transcript is spliced from 2 exons. Lineage: Eukaryota; Metazoa; Arthropoda; Insecta; Hymenoptera; Apidae.